RNAcentral lists this long non-coding RNA (831 nucleotides) under Pan paniscus (pygmy chimpanzee). RNAcentral describes it as "lncRNA (ENSPPAG00000044464.1)". Lineage: Eukaryota; Metazoa; Chordata; Mammalia; Primates; Hominidae. The record is from RNAcentral.
GUACUUAUUAGGUAUUUGUCUAUUUUAUUUAUCUAUUCAGGUCACUUUUCAAUAGUUAAAAAUCCAUUAAUUUUACUGUUUAGCUGAAUUAAUUGCAUUCUCCUACUUUUAUGUUUCAUAUUUUUGUGCUUAAUUUGUUUCAAUCUUUUAUUUUUCUUGUUAAAAGGAAUCCAUUAUUAUUUGCAUUAUCAUUGACGACUGUGAGAAUCUGCAGAAAAAAACAGUAUGGAACUACAACUUCAUGUUCUUGAGAAAAGCUUGCAGUGUAAGAUGCGUUUGUUUGUGGUGCCUGAGGAAGAGAGCAGAAAAGAGAGUUGGUAGUGCUGAGCUGCUGAAGGUUCAUUACUACCUAGCCUUGAGAAUGGAGACCCCACUCGGUACUCUUCAUAAGAGAUGCCCCAACACGUCAAAGGAAUUAUGAAUACUGGAGGAACAUUAAAAGUCAGAGAGAUGUGCUCCUGUUCAUCUGGAAGAAAGCAAAGAAUCAUGCUCUGAACUCCUUUUUGGGGCAUGUGGCCAGGAACUGAGCGUGACCUCUAGAAGUUGAAUGUGGUUUCUAUUCAGAAGUCAGUAAGAAUAUGGAUGCCUUAGUCAUACAACUUCAGGGAAAUGAAUUUUGUCAACAAUUAAUGAGUUUGGGUAGUACGCUGAGGCUCCAAUAUGAAUUGGGAGCCCAGAUGAUUUUUAGCCGGGGGUCCUGAGCACUUUGUUACCUUGUACCAUAACUCCUGUACCAUGGAAACUGUGAAAUAAAUUUCUGUCAUUUUAAACCACUAACUUGUGGUAAUUUGUUAUUCAAAAACAGGAAACUAAUGAAAUCACUGUUAUGCG